AGGACGAACGCUGGCGGCGUGCCUAACACAUGCAAGUUGAGCGACGAACCAGGGCUUGCCCUGGGGCAAAGCAGCGAACGGGUGAGUAACACGUGGGUAACCUGCCCCGAUAACCGGGACAACCCGAGGAAACUCGGGCUAAUACCGGAUGUGCUCGCUGGACCCAAGUCCAGCGCGUAAAGGAGCUUCGGCCUCCGUAUCGGGAGGGGCUCGCGGCCCAUUAGCUAGUUGGUGAGGUAACGGCUCACCAAGGCAUCGAUGGGUAGCUGGUCUGAGAGGACGAUCAGCCACACUGGGACUGAGACACGGCCCAGACUCCUACGGGAGCAGCAGUGGGAAUCUUGCGCAAUGCGCGAAAGCGUGACGCAGCAACGCCGCGUGGGGGAAGACGG
RNAcentral lists this ribosomal RNA (392 nucleotides) under uncultured soil bacterium. RNAcentral's name for it is "bacterial SSU rRNA". It matches the Rfam family "Bacterial small subunit ribosomal RNA", at positions 26 to 414 of the family's 1533-position model. The record is from RNAcentral.